GACGAACGCUGGCGGCGUGCUUAACACAUGCAAGUCGAACGGAAAGGCCCUGCUUUUGUGGGGUGCUCGAGUGGCGAACGGGUGAGUAACACGUGAGUAACCUGCCCUUGACUUUGGGAUAACUUCAGGAAACUGGGGCUAAUACCGGAUAGGAGCUCCUGCUGCAUGGUGGGGGUUGGAAAGUUUCGGCGGUUGGGGAUGGACUCGCGGCUUAUCAGCUUGUUGGUGGGGUAGUGGCUUACCAAGGCUUUGACGGGUAGCCGGCCUGAGAGGGUGACCGGCCACAUUGGGCCUGAGGUACGGCCCAGACUCCUACGGUAGGCAGCAGUGGGGAAUAUUGCACAAUGGGCGGAAGCCUGAUGCAGCAACGCCGCGUGCGGGAUGACGGCCUUCGGGUUGUAAACCGCUUUCGCCUGUGACGAAGCGUGAGUGACGGUAAUGGGUAAAGAAGCACCGGCUAACUACGUG
RNAcentral lists this ribosomal RNA (468 nucleotides) under uncultured bacterium. RNAcentral describes it as "partial 16S ribosomal RNA". It matches the Rfam family "Bacterial small subunit ribosomal RNA", at positions 28 to 507 of the family's 1533-position model. The record is from RNAcentral.